This 494-nucleotide ribosomal RNA is filed under the name uncultured Glomus. RNAcentral describes it as "SSU rRNA". It matches the Rfam family "Eukaryotic small subunit ribosomal RNA", at positions 569 to 1068 of the family's 1831-position model. The record is from RNAcentral. Lineage: Eukaryota; Fungi; Glomeromycota; Glomeromycetes; Glomerales; Glomeraceae.
AGCAGCCGCGGUAAUUCCAGCUCCAAUAGCGUAUAUUAAAGUUGUUGCAGUUAAAAAGCUCGUAGUUGAAUUUCGAGACCGGUUUAUUGGUCGUGCUUUUGUACGUACUGGUAUUAUUGGUUUCUCCUUUCUGACGAAUCUUAAUGCCAUUAAUUUGGUGUUUUGGGGAAUCAGGACUGUUACUUUGAAAAAAUUAGAGUGUUUAAAGCAGGCUCACGCUUGAAUACAUUAGCAUGGAAUAACGGAAUAGGACGUUUGAUUCUAUUUUGUUGGUUUCUAGGAUCGACGUAAUGAUUAAUAGGGAUAGUUGGGGGCAUUAGUAUUCAAUUGUCAGAGGUGAAAUUCUUGGAUUUAUUGAAGACUAACUACUGCGAAAGCAUUUGCCAAGGAUGUUUUCAUUAAUCAAGAACGAAAGUUAGGGGAUCGAAGACGAUCAGAUACCGUCGUAGUCUUAACCAUAAACUAUGCCGACUAGGGAUCGGAUGAUGUUAAUU